GGGUCAGUAGGUUGGUCGUGCCACCGGUACGUACUGGUCUCACUGAUUCCUCCUUCCUGAAGAACCGUAAUGCCAUUAAUUUGGUGUUGCGGGGAAACAGGACUGUUACUUUGAAAAAUUAGAGCGUUUAAAGCAAGCUAACGCUUGAAUACAUUAGCAUGGAAUAAUGAAAUAGGACGAUCGAUCCUAUUUUGUUGGUUUCUAGGAUUGACGUA
This 215-nucleotide ribosomal RNA is filed under the name Glomeromycotina sp. RNAcentral's name for it is "partial small subunit ribosomal RNA". Lineage: Eukaryota; Fungi; Glomeromycota. The record is from RNAcentral.